CCUACGGGUGGCAGCAGUGGGGAAUAUUGGACAAUGGGGGGAACCCUGAUCCAGCCAUGCCGCGUGUGUGAAGAAGGCCCUCGGGUUGUAAAGCACUUUCAGUGAGGAAGAACGCCUGGUGGUUAAUACCCAUCAGGAAAGACAUCACUCACAGAAGAAGCACCGGCUAACUCCGUGCCAGCAGCCGCGGUAAUACGGAGGGUGCGAGCGUUAAUCGGAAUUACUGGGCGUAAAGCGCGCGUAGGUGGCUUGAUAAGCCGGUUGUGAAAGCCCCGGGCUCAACCUGGGAACGGCAUCUGGAACUGUCAAGCUAGAGUGCAGGAGAGGAAGGUAGAAUUCCCGGUGUAGCGGUGAAAUGCGUAGAGAUCGGGAGGAAUACCAGUGGCGAAGGCGGCCUUCUGGACUGACACUGACACUGAGGUGCGAAAGCGUGGGUAGCAAACAGGAUUAGAUACCCCUGUAGUC
RNAcentral lists this ribosomal RNA (465 nucleotides) under Vreelandella stevensii. RNAcentral describes it as "partial 16S ribosomal RNA". It matches the Rfam family "Bacterial small subunit ribosomal RNA", at positions 338 to 795 of the family's 1533-position model. Lineage: Bacteria; Pseudomonadati; Pseudomonadota; Gammaproteobacteria; Oceanospirillales; Halomonadaceae. The record is from RNAcentral.